This 253-nucleotide ribosomal RNA is filed under the name uncultured bacterium. RNAcentral describes it as "partial 16S ribosomal RNA". It matches the Rfam family "Bacterial small subunit ribosomal RNA", at positions 524 to 776 of the family's 1533-position model. The record is from RNAcentral.
GACGAACCGAGCGACCGUUGUUCGGAAUCACUGGGCUUAAAGGGCGCGUAGGCGGGCUGUCAAGUCUGGGGUGAAAUCCCGCGGCUCAACCGUGGAACUGCCUCAGAUACUGACGGUCUCGAGGGGGAUAGGGGCGAGCGGAACUAAUGGUGGAGCGGUGAAAUGCGUUGAUAUCAUUAGGAACUCCGGUGGCGAAGGCGGCUCGCUGGAUCUCUUCUGACGCUGAGGCGCGAAAGCUAGGGGAGCAAACGGG